CGUCGGAGGCGGUGUGGUGGCUCGGCGAGGUCAGGAGCGGCGAGCUUCGGGUGCCGUCGGGUCGCGAGUCGCCAAGGCGCGGCGUCGGUCGUCGCGGGUAGAGGUCACCGGCAAAGUGGGUUUCGGCAGCUGUUACGGGCAAACAACGGUGAGACGGAGGCGCCGGAGUGGAGGGCUUUGGCUCAGUUGCAGCAAUCGCCGGAGGAACAAGGCACUACUGGCGUCUCUGGUGGCUCAGAGCAGCACGAGCAUGCGGACGAGGCAAGGGCGCAGCUUCACCAGGCGUCGGGUCAGGGGUAAACCUGCAGAAACAGAAGCUUCGUCGCGGCUGGGAGGUGAAUCGGCGGGCAGGGGAGGACGUCGGGCGCUGCAGGCUGGCGUCACGGGAGGAGACUGAACAGUUGCUGCAGCAGUGGUCGUUGCAGCAGGCGUCGGGACGAGCUCGCUGGUGCAGAGGUGCGGUGGAGCGCCGGCUUCUGUGUAGAAAUGGUCGCUGGCAGAAGACCCUUCGGAGAAGAUGAACAACUGUUCCUCCUU
This 537-nucleotide long non-coding RNA is filed under the name Eucalyptus grandis. Its description in RNAcentral is "long non-coding RNA (EGRA_LNC000138)". Lineage: Eukaryota; Viridiplantae; Streptophyta; Magnoliopsida; Myrtales; Myrtaceae. The record is from RNAcentral.